This 471-nucleotide ribosomal RNA is filed under the name uncultured bacterium. Its description in RNAcentral is "bacterial SSU rRNA". It matches the Rfam family "Bacterial small subunit ribosomal RNA", at positions 33 to 507 of the family's 1533-position model. The record is from RNAcentral.
ACUACGCUGGCGGCGUGCUUAACACAUGCAAGUCGAACGGACAUUAUCGAAAAGUUUACUUGGAGGUAAUGUUAGUGGCGGACGGGUGAGUAACACGUGGAUAAUCUGCCUGUAGCGCCGGGAUAACAUUGUGAAAACGAUGCUAAUACCGGAUACGUUCCCCGGAUCGCAUGGAAUGGGGAAGAAAGAGCAAUCGGUUACAGAUGAGUCCGCGGCUGAUUAGCUGGUUGGUGGGGUAACGGCCUACCAAGGCGACGAUCAGUAGCCGGCCUGAGAGGGUGAACGGCCACACUGGGACUGAGACACGGCCCAGACUCCUACGGGAGGCAGCAGUGGGGAAUCUUCCGCAAUGGGCGAAAGCCUGACGGAGCAACGCCGCGUGAGUGAAGAAGGCCUUCGGGUUGUAAAGCUCUGUCUUCAGGGAAGAAAGAAAUGACGGUACCUGAGGAGGAAGCCACGGCUAACUACGUG